AAAUAAGAAGCAAUAAAAUUGCAUCUAGUUUCGACCUAGAAGUUUGACUCACCUAGUCCUUAUUUA
This 66-nucleotide transfer RNA is filed under the name Cryptocephalus obliteratifer. RNAcentral describes it as "tRNA-Arg". The record is from RNAcentral. Lineage: Eukaryota; Metazoa; Arthropoda; Insecta; Coleoptera; Chrysomelidae.